AGGGCCUCAAUGGAUUGGAAGAUGCCCACCCACAUUGAAUCAGAGAUGAGUUACUUUUCUAAGCAAAGAAGCUGCUGAAAUGGAGAGAACCAAGCAACGCCUUCAAAAGCAAAGAUUCUUUCAGAACAUGGAGGAGACAAGCCGGGCCCCUUUGUUCCAGGAUUGUACUUCUUAAAGAGCCAACUCCGAACCCAACAGGCUGAACCGACACACAGUCGGCCUUCCAUGAGUCUCCAAAUGCCCAAAGAUGGUUCCCGGGAAUCUUCCACUGCUCAUUGAUGUGUUGACAGGCUCUUGAGCAGAAAGCUCAGGCUGUUAGUAGGAAUAUAUGGCUCAGAUAGUCAAAAAUCGAUUCACUCACAUUUCUCACACCAGACUCCAUUUCUCUCUUCCAAACAAUAGAAGUACAGAUUUUCUUUUUAAAACCUUUCUCCAAAGAAGUGUUUACAUUCCUGCUUCCCCCACAAGGGGGUGGGGGAUAAGAAAACCCUUGACACUCAGCUGAGGCCCCGGAACUGGAACCUUUCUCAAGUUUCCGGGUGCUGAAGGCCACGUGACUGAAGCCUGGCCAAUGGGAUACAAGAAGUUCCCGCGCGCUUUGCCCUGCGUGUGGGGCACGCGCCCAUUCUUCCGGCCCUUCCUCCAGCCCCUGGCCCAGACCAGGGCCUCGCCGUCAAAGGCCAAAUCCUAGGGAUGACAGAGACAGGACAGGAAGAACCUCGCGCAACGCAGUCACAAUACCGGCUCUGGAGCGCCUGUCUCUGGACUCUUGUGUAAUGUCCUGUAUCAUUUUAAUGACUGGGGAGUGUGACUUUGUUCUCAGCAUGAUCCUUCCAAUCUUGAGAGCCAAUGUUUCCCUUAUUUUAACCAGCACCACAGGAAACCUGAAAAAUAGAGCCUGCAAGAGGCAUCUUGAGGCCUCCAAGAAACUGGAAAUAUUGUACUAACCAGGCCUCAAGAGAACUGAGCAGAUUGGAUGUGCUGAACCUGCACUUUUGAGCAACACGUCAGCCACAUGAGUGCGCCAUCUUCAAGGCAGAUCCUGUAGCCCCCAAGUCAAGCCUUCAGAUGAGAUGCAGCCUGAACAGCCUCCUGAGAGACUUUGAGCCAGAGCCCGGCUAAACUGCUCCCGAAUUCCUGAAACUAUGUGGAGUAAGAAACAUCUGUGGUUUUAUACUGCUAAGUUUUAAGAUGCAAAAUGCAAGACACUGGAUAUGGGCUGGGCCUGCUUCACUUUAAUUGCUGAGUGUGCUGCCACCUGGUGUUCUAUAAGGGCCUCUAUCUUUUAGGCAAAUGAGUUUGGUAUUUCCUGUUGCCUGUUGGACAUCACACUGGAAAGUGUCUCCUCACUGCAACCUCUUCAUGUCGGAUUGUAGACAUCUCAACUUUUCAUCCCUGACUUUCUUAUUCCUAUUGCUGUUCCCAGCACUGGGUACAUCUGACAUAGACAGUGCCUGACAAAUCAAUAACUAUUAGUUGGAUGAAUGAAUGAAUCAUGUUUGUUGCCCAGAUAAGAAAGCUUGAUGCCAUGUUUAAUUUUCUCUUCUUUCUUCUGCCAGUGUCUUACUUUCCUUGAAUGCCUGUGGCUCUUGCUUUCUGUACCAGAGAUGUAUAAAUAGGGUGCUCAAGUGGAUAAGGCUUUAGAGGCAGUAGAUAUAGGUCUAGAUUCCAGCUUUGUCACUUACCAACCAGAUGAAUUAGGAACAUUAAUUGUUUUAAGGUGUGAAAGGAGAUGGGAGAAUGUAACACUGCUUACCCAUCUCUACCCUCUCAUACGCACAUACUCUGAACAUAACCAAAAUAUUGUGAUAUGUUAACCUUUGUGCAUUAUGAGGAAUGGACGCCCAUGGUAUUUUAUCUCAACAUUAAAGGAAACAGACCCACAGAAAGCUGAAGGACUUAGAAGCAUCUGAGUUACAUUUGAAAAGCACUUGAUAUGAUGCUUAGGACAAAGGAAACAUUCAAACAUGGUAUGAAUAACUAGGUCACUAACCAGCUAUUGUCAUUGCCAUUUACUCAGAAGUGGAUCGUGUAUGUAGCUGUUCUAUGAUAAUCUCUUGAAGUGUUGAAAUGAAUUUCUGGUUCUCUCUAGUGCAUGCUGGUAUUUUAUCUUCAUAUAAAGAUAAUACAGGGUAUUAUUCUCUCUAAUACAGGGUAAACUGUGAGCUUAGGGGCCACAGCUAGUUCUUCUGCAUAUGCGUCAAAGCUCCUAGUCUCUAAUCUUGUAUCCAGCAAACUCUUAAAAUGGUUUUUGACUGGGCUGUCCUGAUACGUGGCACUAACUCUUCAUUUAUGCAUUUUGUUGAUAAACAAGGAUAACCUGGAUAAUUCAACCUUUGGACAUUCUCCAGCUCUCAGCCCCUUCUCCUCACUAUAUCUUUAAAGGGCUGUUUCCCUCUUUAAAGAGGAGAUGAUUUUAGAUUAAAUUGCUUGUCAUUCUUUAAAAUGCAGACUGUGCUUGGGAUUUUUAAUUUUUUGCUGGGACCAAAGUGAAAACCUUAUUCCAACAGGGUUCUGGCUUGCAGCUUAUCCAAGGAAGUUCAUGAGCAAAAGGACAUCAUUCUACAAGUGGCUUCAGACAGCCAUCCUAUCACCUGUGCUCUAGGGUGUCCUGCAAAUGUGAGGCCCACAGGAUUUAUUUCUGUGGGUGUGGCUAAAUGGCCUCCAUACAACCAGUUCUUUUUUUCAAUCUGUGCACA
Molecule: non-coding RNA, 2699 nt
Organism: Microcebus murinus (gray mouse lemur)
Lineage: Eukaryota; Metazoa; Chordata; Mammalia; Primates; Cheirogaleidae
Source: RefSeq, a predicted model, not a curated record